Molecule: ribosomal RNA, 267 nt
Filed under: uncultured bacterium
Lineage: Bacteria
Description: partial 16S ribosomal RNA
Rfam family: Bacterial small subunit ribosomal RNA
Source: RNAcentral
UACGUAGGGGGCUAGCGUUGUCCGGAAUCAUUGGGCGUAAAGCGCGUGUAGGCGGUCCGGUAAGUCCGCUGUGAAAGUCGGGUGUGAAACCUCCAGGCUCAACCUGGAGACGCCACUCGAUACUUCUAUGACUUGAGUUCGGUAGGGGUAAGCGGAAUUCCUGGUGUAGCGGUGAAAUGCGCAGAUAUCAGGAGGAACACCGACGGCGAAGGCAGCUUACUGAGCCGAUACUGACGCUGAGGAGCGAAAGCGUGGGGAGCGAACAGG